CGAAUUAUGCGCAUUGAUUCUUGCAUGUUCUUGCAUUCAAAAACACUUCAAAAAACUUGAUAUCCUCUAUUUGGGAGAGAUGGCUUCUUAUAGGUGAAGAAGAGUCGUCCUGGGAAUUACACAACUGAACUUGCUAUGUUUGGCUCCAAUUACCCCGUCCACCGCAAAUUCAAUAUAUGUUCUGCAUGCGACCGUAUAUUGACCGCAGACCUGGGCGCGGAUUUCAUCCUUGCUCUUUCUUCUCUUUUUUCAAUCAUGUUGUCCUCUGAUUGAUCUUCCAUACUCCAUAUUGAAUCCAAAACACUUUUUUACCUUUCUUCUAGCUCGAAGUGGCUCCUAAAAAGUAAUAAACUCGUAAUUAGGGCAUUUUAUUAUUCUUUUACAAUCAAACAUAGGUAAAGUGCGGCCAAAUUAGAGUGUAAAUAUUAGCUCUUGCAUAAUUAUCAUUUAUUAUCAACACCCCACACUUAAAUCCUUGCUCGUCCCCGAGCAAUCAAACCACACUCUACAAUGGUCUAACUUCACUGAGUGACUCCUCUAACUCUUCACACUAAGAACAUUUCACAAAAAUUGAGCUCGGUAGUAUAACAUAUUCGCCCCAAGAGCUGACUCUCCCAUGCCACGUAAUAUUCCUAACUUAACUCACUUACUCUAGAGCAGAGGUUAAGACUCACUUUUCCUUCAUAAAUCAAGUGCCCUUUCAUAACAAAUGACAGUGGUUCCACACACAAUAAUAUUUAAGUACAAUUACGAACUCAACAUAGAAAGAAUUCACUCAUUCUCAAAAAGAACAUUCAUAUGUCACAAAAAAUGCACAUAGGCUUGCCCGUAGUGUACUAAUCCACUAACUCGAGUUCAUUCCGUCUAGGAUCAAUUAGUACUUCAGUUGGUUGAAAUGUACGCUGCGAGACAGGUAAGAUACAUUUAGGUAUAAGAGUGAAUAUACCUCCCUAAGCACUUAAAACAUAACCUUUAUCAUUUCUAAUCCCACACAUAUUUCAAACCACAACUCCACAUUCAUAUCACUAUAUAUUAACUCCCUUCUUCUUUACGCACAAUUACAUCAAGAGUCGCCCCUUAUCAAAGAAUAUUUGUUUCAUAACAAUACAAUAUUAUUUUCAUUCUCUUUCACUUCAAGUGGCUCUUACUUGUUUAAAACAGUGCACCUUUCUCCUUAUUUCAUUAGUUGCACUCAAAAGCCAAACCACUCACCCC
This 1215-nucleotide long non-coding RNA is filed under the name Nicotiana benthamiana. RNAcentral describes it as "long non-coding RNA (NBEN_LNC026329)". Lineage: Eukaryota; Viridiplantae; Streptophyta; Magnoliopsida; Solanales; Solanaceae. The record is from RNAcentral.